CGGGACGGGGUUGCCUCGGCAUCCCCUUUUCUUCCACAGAUCCUCACCGCAGCGGCCGCUCUGUUCUUCCAUAGACGUGCACCGCGGCAGCGAUUCUGGACCAGCAAGAUAUCCACUGACGGCCUCGAGCUCGACGGCAGGGGGGAGUCGUGCCUGCUGGAUGGAAAUGGUUCUGUGUUCCAAGUGGAGUUCCAAGAUUCCAUGAGUGCACCAGCUCUAGAGAUCGAGAAGGGGGGCGAAGCACAGGAAGCUGGAGAUGGACAGAGAUAUGAGGUGUGCUCUGAAGCUAUGAGCGGCUGGACAUGGAAGUUAGUGUGGUUUUCCCUCAUAUUAGUUUUGCACCUGCUCAGUGUAGUUUUUUCUUGGUCGUGGGUGUACUGGUUAUAUGAUAUUUGGUGGAAAUAGAAUUUUUUGCUGAUGGACACAAACCUUGGCACCGUUGUAGGUGACUUCCCUGGCUGAAAUGUUCACCGUAAUUUGACCGAC
Molecule: non-coding RNA, 486 nt
Organism: Triticum urartu
Lineage: Eukaryota; Viridiplantae; Streptophyta; Magnoliopsida; Poales; Poaceae
Source: RefSeq, a predicted model, not a curated record